Molecule: small RNA, 556 nt
Filed under: Pan troglodytes (chimpanzee)
Lineage: Eukaryota; Metazoa; Chordata; Mammalia; Primates; Hominidae
Description: processed transcript
Source: RNAcentral
UUAUAUGUUACUGCCCCUAGUCAGUGUCUAUUGUAUUUAUUACUGCAGGGCCGCCUUUUUGCCUAUCCUGACACUCACCGCCAUCGCCUGGGACCCAAUUAUCUUCAUAUACCUGUGAACUGUCCCUACCGUGCUCGAGUGGCCAACUACCAGCGUGACGGCCCGAUGUGCAUGCAGGACAAUCAGGGUGGUGCUCCAAAUUACUACCCCAACAGCUUUGGUGCUCCGGAACAACAGCCUUCUGCCCUGGAGCACAGCAUCCAAUAUUGUGGAGAAGUGCGGAGAUUCAACACUGCCAAUGAUGAUAACGUUACUCAGGUGCGGGCAUUCUAUGUGAACGUGCUGAAUGAGGAACAGAGGAAACGUCUGUGUGAGAACAUUGCCGGCCACCUGAAAGAUGCACAAAUUUUCAUCCAGAAGAAAGCGGUGAGUCUUUGUAAGCUGAAGGGUGUCCUCUGCUGGCUAAGGAAGACAGUGCAGCUGUGUGGGAGAACCCUAAAAAGAAAGUGCCAUUUCUGUUUUACUUAAGAGAACUUAAAAAAAAAAAAAAAACUAG